Oryza nivara is the source of this 207-nucleotide non-coding RNA. The record is from Rfam. Lineage: Eukaryota; Viridiplantae; Streptophyta; Magnoliopsida; Poales; Poaceae.
AAAAAGAUAAAUCAUAGGUUUCCGUGUCCAACGUUUGACUGUCCGUCUUAUAUGAAAUUUUUUAUAAUUAGUAUUUUCAUUGUUGUUAGAUGAUAAAAUAUGAUUAAUAUUUUAUGCGUGACUUGGUCUUUUUAAUUUUUUUCAUAAUUUUUUCAAAUAAAACGGACAGUCAAACGUUGGACACGGAAACCCAGGGUUUGUCUUUUU